CGGGACGGGUGGGUAACGCGUGGGUAACCUGCCUCACACAGGGGGAUAACAGUUGGAAACGGCUGCUAAUACCGCAUAAGCGCACAGUACCGCAUGGUACAGUGUGAAAAACUCCGGUGGUGUGAGAUGGACCCGCGUCUGAUUAGCUAGUUGGCAGGGCAGCGGCCUACCAAGGCGACGAUCAGUAGCCGACCUGAGAGGGUGACCGGCCACAUUGGGACUGAGACACGGCCCAA
RNAcentral lists this ribosomal RNA (236 nucleotides) under uncultured bacterium. Its description in RNAcentral is "partial 16S ribosomal RNA". It matches the Rfam family "Bacterial small subunit ribosomal RNA", at positions 100 to 334 of the family's 1533-position model. The record is from RNAcentral.